This is a long non-coding RNA of Nothoprocta perdicaria, 993 nucleotides long. RefSeq lists it as uncharacterized. Lineage: Eukaryota; Metazoa; Chordata; Aves; Tinamiformes; Tinamidae. The transcript is spliced from 3 exons. The record is from RefSeq and is a predicted model, not a curated record.
GGCUGGGAGGGCAGGAGCUGAAGGUUACAUCAGUGAGGCUGAGCUGCCCUCUUGGGAGCCUGGAAGGGCUCUCCUGGUUGGAAAUUGCUGGUGAAGGGCUGACAAGAAAUGCAGAGAAUAGCAGGAUGCAAGUGCAGCCCUCCCAUGGGAGCUGUGCCCUUUGCUAACAGCAGACAUGUAUGAAGUUCCCUGGCUACACAGCAGAGAGCAAUUUGAUUGCAGUUCAGCCCAAGCAUCGAGUUUGCAGAAGCAGGAACCACCUUCCCGAGUGGUGGCUCUUUGCCUGUCAUGGGCCAGGAGGGGUGACUGGUACCUGUGGCUGCCUUCCCCUCCCUGCGAGGUAGGACUGAGAGGGCAAAUGAGGCAAAGCCACCAUCUCCUGCUCACACGCUGCUCUUCCCGCUGCAGUUGAGAAAGCUUCAAUUUACCAAUUUACUCCUGUCUUUAUAUCGGACAACAGAUGUAACCCUGCAGAACUUACGGGUAUAUUUGUAGCCUGCCACAGGAAAGCUGAGUCAAAGGAACCGGCAGCAGAUGCUCUUGGUUCCUUCUGCUGCAAAAUCUUGCACAACCUGCUGCCAAAGGUAUUUAGUAGUGACAGAGUCUUUUGUGCUUGGCACCAGGAUGAGUGAGCUGCUGUGUUCUUCAGCUGACCCCUUGCAAAGUUUCAUCUAUUACCUUUAGCAGGCAGGAAAGAAAAUGUUGCACUAGAUGAAAAUGUACAUCUUUCAGGCUCUGUGUUUUUUAAUAACUUUGUGGAAUGACAGAUUACUUGGAAGAAAUAGAAUGAGGGUAUACAUAAAACUUUCUGUUAAUAUAAAGUAAAAGACAAUAUGUGUAUAGAGAUGUGCUUCCAUUACACAGUAGGUAUAUUAAAGCAGUUGUAUCCUGGCACCAGCUCAGUUUUCUGGAGGGAUAAUUUGUUGUGUGAAUGUUGGGAUCUGUUAAAUUAACUGUGACCUGGCAGAUGAAGCAUAAAUUAAGAACUCUUCU